ACUCCUACGCGGAGGCAGCAGUGGGGAAUAUUGCACAAUGGGCGAAAGCCUGAUGCAGCAACGCCGCGUGAGGGACGAAGGCCUUCGGGUUGUAAACCUCUUUUAGUAGGGAAGAAGCGAAAGUGACGGUACCUGCAGAAAAAGCACCGGCUAACUACGUGCCAGCAGCCGCGGUAAUACGUAGGGUGCAAGCGUUGUCCGGAAUUAUUGGGCGUAAAGAGCUCGUAGGCGGUUUGUCGCGUCUGCUGUGAAAACCCGAGGCUCAACCUCGGGCCUGCAGUGGGUACGGGCAGACUAGAGUGCGGUAGGGGAGAUUGGAAUUCCUGGUGUAGCGGUGGAAUGCGCAGAUAUCAGGAGGAACACCAAUGGCGAAGGCAGAUCUCUGGGCCGUAACUGACGCUGAGGAGCGAAAGCAUGGGGAGCGAACAGGAUUAGAUACCCUGGUAGUCCAUGCCGUAAACGUUGGGAACUAGAUGUGGGGACCAUUCCACGGUCUCCGUGUC
Molecule: ribosomal RNA, 503 nt
Filed under: uncultured bacterium
Lineage: Bacteria
Description: bacterial SSU rRNA
Rfam family: Bacterial small subunit ribosomal RNA
Source: RNAcentral